RNAcentral lists this long non-coding RNA (479 nucleotides) under Nicotiana benthamiana. RNAcentral describes it as "long non-coding RNA (NBEN_LNC031426)". Lineage: Eukaryota; Viridiplantae; Streptophyta; Magnoliopsida; Solanales; Solanaceae. The record is from RNAcentral.
UUAUUUUCAAAACUUUGAAGGGUUUCAAGAUCUUUCCAAGAUCUUUUAGAAUGUACAAAACUACAAAUAUAGGUAUCAAAAACUAGGCCUGCAUUUUUAUUUCUUUUCUAUUUUCUAUUAUAUAGAAAAGAGAAGUUGAUCACGCAAAAUUAUCAUUUUACUUUACCAUUUUAACGAUGCUCGCUAUUUCAACACAAACGAGAUUCUAGAAACAUCUCUCCUCAAUUCCAUCAUAACUUAGGCUACCCUUUGAGUUGUUGUUGUUGUUUUUCUUCUUCUUCAGAAUUUGAAGAAUACGACUACCUGAUUCUUUCUCAGUUUUUGCUCAAAUUGUCUUCUCUCUUCUUCUUAUUCUUCUUCUUUUUUUCUUUUAAUUAUUUGAGAUCUCUUAACAAAUUUCUAUUUCAUGGGUUUAUUCCCUUGGUUAUUGUUAUUCUAUGGUGAUAUAACAUCUUUUAUUUUUGUAAGCAAUGAUUGGC